UGUAAAUGUACGUACAAAUCCUUACAUACACACAAAAGUGAGCAAACAGGUUCUUAACAGCAGAGAAGACACAGCUGAAGAACAAAUUCAUGUAUUGGAAAAAAGGUUAAAAGAUACCUGCAAUGAAUUACAAAAACAAA
Long non-coding RNA from Sapajus apella (tufted capuchin), 140 nucleotides. RefSeq lists it as uncharacterized. The record is from RefSeq and is a predicted model, not a curated record. Lineage: Eukaryota; Metazoa; Chordata; Mammalia; Primates; Cebidae. The transcript has 2 exons.